GAUGAACGCUGGCGGCGUGCCUAAUACAUGCAAGUCGAGCGAACAGAUGAGGAGCUUGCUCCUCUGACGUUAGCGGCGGACGGGUGAGUAACACGUGGAUAACCUACCUAUAAGACUGGGAUAACUUCGGGAAACCGGAGCUAAUACCGGAUAAUAUAUUGAACCGCAUGGUUCAAUAGUGAAAGACGGUUUUGCUGUCACUUAUAGAUGGAUCCGCGCCGCAUUAGCUAGUUGGUAAGGUAACGGCUUACCAAGGCGACGAUGCGUAGCCGACCUGAGAGGGUGAUCGGCCACACUGGAACGGAGACACGGUCCAGACUCCUACGGGAGGCAGCAGUAGGGAAUCUUACGCAAUGGGCGAAAGCCUGACGGAGCAACGCCGCGUGAGUGAUGAAGGUCUUCGGAUCGUAAAACUCUGUUAUUAGGGAAGAACAAAUGUGUAAGUAACUAUGCACGUCUUGACGGUACCUAAUCAGAAAGCCACGGCUAACUACGUG
Molecule: ribosomal RNA, 497 nt
Filed under: uncultured bacterium
Lineage: Bacteria
Description: partial 16S ribosomal RNA
Rfam family: Bacterial small subunit ribosomal RNA
Source: RNAcentral